AUGUCUUUUGAAAGCACUGGAAACAGGCUGACACUUCCCAUUGAAACUGCCAGAACGUGGCUGCUUGGUCUCUCUGAACCAGGAAACGCUCAGAGGGCUGAAGGCAGUGUGAAUCAGGCUGACAUUCCUGUGGCCAAGGCUCAGGCAGCAGUAUCUAGGGAGAAAAAUGACCAGAAUUUCCAUGCCAAGGAGGAGAGACAGAUGGGCUGUGGGCUCCCUUCCAGUAGAGGAGACAUUGACUUUGGCUUCAAUAUCCUGAUUAGACUACAGUGAGCACUUGCUGAUGCUAGUUUCUCAGAUAUAAGUAAAGUAUUUAAUUUGGUUUUGUUGGUGUUUUUAUGUUUGUUUUAUAUUUUUGUUUGAUUAUUUGUUUUAUUUCUACAGCACUGAGCUCAGGUUUGCAUUGAAUUAUUUAUGAAGUCCACAAGAUCUCAUUCCUGACUCAUAAUAAACACCUCAGCACCUAC
This 467-nucleotide long non-coding RNA is filed under the name Taeniopygia guttata (zebra finch). RNAcentral describes it as "lncRNA (ENSTGUG00000022917.1)". The record is from RNAcentral. Lineage: Eukaryota; Metazoa; Chordata; Aves; Passeriformes; Estrildidae.